UGAAUUCGUGGGGUUUAGAGCCCGGCACAGUUAUUUCCCAGGUUUGUUUUUGGAAUAAUUUUUUGUAGGUCACUUUCGGGAGUGACUCCUGAGUGGAUGCGGGGGAGAACACUCGCCCUCCCUGCGUUUAUAAAACCUGGAUCACUGGAGGGAUCAGCAAAUCAAAUAAGUACUUUAAAUAAAGUCUUUUUGUUGUUAUGAGAGAAAAAUUGAACACAGAAUCUUCAGGUCUGGAUUGUUUGUGUGCAGGUCGUUGGGCUGCUCACCCUUCACAGUCCCUGGCCCAUGAUGUGCCCUCGGCCACCUCUGUCAUCUCUAGCUGGAUAACAGAAGCCUUCCAAGUGCUGCGAUGGAGUUCCUCAGUCCCUCUGCCCUGGCGCUUUCCUUCCCGGGCACUCAUCUCCUCUGAGCUGGGGAAGUCAGGGCUGCAUCCAUGAAAACGUGUGUCAUGCAGAGGAGAAACAGACCCUGUGGGUGCAUCUGAAAUGAGACCCUGGCUGAAGCUCCCAUCAGCAAUGAGACUGAUCAAGCACUGCAUGCAUCUGACAGCCAGCUUGGCACUGCCUCGCCACAUGCAGCAGCUGGGCUCCAGUGGUUUUAGUACGCAAGUAGGUCUGAAAAACAUAUUAAUUUUUAAUUAAAUGUUUAAAUAUCAAGUUUAGAAGGUCUCCUUAAGGCGUGUGUCAGUAAUAUGUGUGCUACUGUGAUUAAGGAGGUAGGUCUUAAGCUAUGCACUGUCGGUAAGCAAACUAAAACUCUCUAAUGAGAAUAAAAAAAUGUAUAUAUACAUGUGUAGAUGUGUGUGUGUGUGUAUAUAUGUAUAUUUUUAAAGACAGACAUCUGGCACAAGUAAUGUCUUUGCAGUAGUGAGAGCCUCCUGCCUUGCUCCAGUUUGCAUUCGGUGCUAUGGCAGUUUCAAAGACCUUGAUGGCCGGGGCAGGGGCACACAGCAGGAGGAAGUCACAGAUGUUGGUGCAAAGAGUUUCGAUCAGAAGGGAAAAUCCUAAAAAUAAUGUCAUAAGCUAAUGCUGAUACGCAUGGAAAGAGCUCAGCAGUUACAUAAAGGAUUGGUUGGUCUGGUGUAGACUUCUAUGCAGGGAAGGCUGGCUGGGAUAUUUUUUAAUAUUUUUUUUUGGUGUCAAAUAUCUAGGAAAGAGGGGAGAAGUAGAAGACAUGAAGAGUGAGACAGAGUGUGUUAAUGGUUUGAGCUGUGCAGAGAUAUGACUAGAAAAUUAAUCUUCCCUAUGGGAAGAAUUGUAUCUAUUUCACCACAGGGUUUUUUUCAGCUAUUUAGCCCUCUUCAGGCUGUACUGGCUUCCUAGUGAGUGCUUUAAGAGUCUGGCAGAAGGUAUGCAGAGCCAGACUUUGAUGCUCCUCUCUUCUUUCUGGAUGCUUUCCUGCAAAUGCUGAAAAGCAACUCUGGAAUAUCAUAGAAUUUCUUCUCAUAGUCAUCUAUACAUAUUUCCUUGUUAGUAAGCACCAUAUGUCACUCUUUAAACAGCCCAGUACUGUAUUUACUGAGACCUGAGUGUAUGUGGUAACACCACAGCUCCUGUAUAUGAUGUACCAGCUAUACAUUACACACAAUUUCAAUAAACAAGUCACUUUUAAUCAUUUCUCCCCCAUUCAGAAAUGCAUUUAUAUAUGUGUUCUCCUGCCCACGAUGAAGAAGUGUUUGAAAUAUGUUAUUAAGGGUAACAGAUGUAUUUGAAUAAGGGCUUUUUUUUAUGUCUGACUGUUCAUUGGGAUAAG
Molecule: long non-coding RNA, 1752 nt
Organism: Falco peregrinus (peregrine falcon)
Lineage: Eukaryota; Metazoa; Chordata; Aves; Falconiformes; Falconidae
Exons: 5
Source: RefSeq, a predicted model, not a curated record